Molecule: unclassified non-coding RNA, 343 nt
Filed under: soil metagenome
Description: partial contains 5.8S ribosomal RNA, internal transcribed spacer 2, and large subunit ribosomal RNA
Rfam family: 5.8S ribosomal RNA (bases 1-120)
Source: RNAcentral
GAUGAAGAACGUAGCGAAAUGCGAUAAGUAAUGUGAAUUGCAGAAUUCAGUGAAUCAUCGAAUCUUUGAACGCACAUUGCGCCCGCCAGCAUUCUGGCGGGCAUGCCUGUUCGAGCGUCAUUUCAACCCUCGAGCCCCCCCGGGGGCCUCGGUGUUGGGGGACGGCACACCAGCCGCCCCCGAAAUGCAGUGGCGACCCCGCCGCAGCCUCCCCUGCGUAGUAGCACACACCUCGCACCGGAGCGCGGAGGCGGUCACGCCGUAAAACGCCCAACUUUCUUAGAGUUGACCUCGGAUCAGGUAGGAAUACCCGCUGAACUUAAGCAUAUCAAUAAACGGAGGA